RNAcentral lists this transfer RNA (83 nucleotides) under Pontibacter akesuensis. Its description in RNAcentral is "tRNA-Leu". It matches the Rfam family "tRNA". Rfam says of the family: Transfer RNA (tRNA) molecules are approximately 80 nucleotides in length. Their secondary structure includes four short double-helical elements and three loops (D, anti-codon, and T loops). Lineage: Bacteria; Pseudomonadati; Bacteroidota; Cytophagia; Cytophagales; Hymenobacteraceae. The record is from RNAcentral. RNAcentral also lists the same sequence under 3 other names.
GCGCACGUGGCGAAACUGGUAGACGUGCAGGUCUCAGAAGCCUGUGCCUUCGGGUGUGGGAGUUCGAAUCUCCCCGUGCGCAC